AACGAACGCUGGUGGCAUGCCUAACACAUGCAAGUCGAACGAGACCUUCGGGUCUAGUGGCGCACGGGUGCGUAACGCGUGGGAAUCUGCCCUUGGGUUCGGAAUAACAGUUGGAAACGACUGCUAAUACCGGAUGAUGACGUAAGUCCAAAGAUUUAUCGCCCAAGGAUGAGCCCGCGUAGGAUUAGCUAGUUGGUGAGGUAAAGGCUCACCAAGGCGACGAUCCUUAGCUGGUCUGAGAGGAUGAUCAGCCACACUGGGACUGAGACACGGCCCAGACUCCUACGGGAGGCAGCAGUGGGGAAUAUUGGACAAUGGGCGAAAGCCUGAUCCAGCAAUGCCGCGUGAGUGAUGAAGGCCUUAGGGUUGUAAAGCUCUUUUACCCGGGAUGAUAAUGACAGUACCGGGAGAAUAAGCGCCGGCUAACUCCGUG
This 433-nucleotide ribosomal RNA is filed under the name uncultured bacterium. RNAcentral describes it as "partial 16S ribosomal RNA". It matches the Rfam family "Bacterial small subunit ribosomal RNA", at positions 29 to 507 of the family's 1533-position model. The record is from RNAcentral.